Molecule: long non-coding RNA, 3935 nt
Filed under: Gossypium barbadense (sea-island cotton)
Lineage: Eukaryota; Viridiplantae; Streptophyta; Magnoliopsida; Malvales; Malvaceae
Description: long non-coding RNA (GBAR_LNC005499)
Source: RNAcentral
CCAUCCCAUCAAAGCACUUUUGAUUGUUUAGUUUUUCCUUUAGUAAUAAUCAAUAUGUAAGUCUUUAUAUAUUGGUUCACUUCAACAUUUUUAUGUGAAAAUUUAACAAUUUUCAGGGUCCUUUUUUUUUGGGGGGGGGGGGUGGGGGUGCAGAUGAAGAGCUUGUAAAGGAGAUGUUAAUUGAAGGGACUAUUCAUCCAUCAUUCUAUUUCCUCUACAUUUCCAGGUAACUAAUUGUCCCCUGUUUUCUUUUUAAAAAAAAAAUAUGAAAGAGGCCCUUUCUUCUUAAGAUGGUACCAUUACUUCUAAAGAAUCAAAUAAAUUGAGGCAAACAAAAUCAUUUAGCAUGUGGCUUUGCAUGACACUACUUUAAAUUAACAUUGUUAAAAACAAUGACAAUUAAAGUAGUGUCCUGCAAAUUUAUAAGCUAAAUAAAGCUUCCACCAGUAACUCUUAAUACUAAUAUUCUUAUUCUUGAAAAAAUAAGUCAAUUAAAGUAGAAAAAUUUAAACUUAAAGGAUCAUUUCCGUCACUAGGAAUCUUUUAAGUCAACAUUAAUUUCUCCCAAUUAAAGGUUGUGCUUUAUCAUCCAAAGCAACAACGAUGGUCAAAGAGUUUUAGAUGAGUGAGGAGGGAAGUGAGUUUUAGAUAGGUGGGAUACAUGGCUUAAGUCCACCCUAGAAUUGCUUGUAGAUCGAAUUAUCCAUUCAAGUCCAAAAGUCUAUUUUAAAAAUGAACUUUGCUAGAAUUUAAUAUUUAUUUUUUAUAUGAGUCGGGCUUUAAAUAAAAAAAUAAGUUUAUUUUCAGGUUGGUUAAGUCUGAGUUUGAAAAAUUAUUCUAGAUACUUUACAUGUACCCGAUUCGACUCAAUUUAUAUGCUUCUCUAAUCAAGCCUCUUGAACUUGGUAGAUGAUGUCAAAAUUCGACUUCGUCCGUUUGAUAGGCUAAUGUUAUGGACUGUGCAUUAAAACUUGUGAUCAAAGCAAACAGAACUAUUUAAGGAUGUCAAUUGAUUAAAUUAAAUUUACUUAACCCAUUUGGAUCAACUCUGUUCAUAAAACAUAUCAAGAAGUUUAUAUACUUAUAACUUGGUGGUUUAAUCAAACACUUGUGAGUAUUUAUCCAAACUUUAGUAUGGAUUAUUUCUCUUAGCUUAAACUUCCGUGACACUAACAUGUGGCUCUACCAUUAUAGAAUCUACAAGUUUGUGUUCCAUUCACAAUGCUGUUGCAGAGUAAAUUCUUCUGGUUCUUUCUUGUCAGAUGUGAUAUAUCAAAGGCAUCACUAAAAUUUUCCGAUGUCUUGUCUUUCAUAAUUUGGCUGUGUUAUCAAAUUAAAGGAAACGUGGCAAAAUAACAUAGUGGCAGUGGCAGAGGCAUCGCGAUAUUUACCAAAUUUUCCCGACUGAUUUGAGCCGUACGACUUGUUGCUUGAAUCUUCCUAUCAAUGCUUCGAAGGUUUCUGCACAUCCCUUUCUCUAACAUCAGUCAGUCAAAUGAAAAGGCGUUGUGAUCAUGCAUUUGUUACCCUGUGAAACGACACGUUUAGCCUACAAUCAUUCAAGCACUUCCAUUACGAAAUUUCGUUGUACCCAUACAACACAAAAGGGCAAAACAAAGAUUCUUUAAUUAAAAUAACCAACAAUUUAACCAUGGCAAUGGAACAAAUUAGGAUACAUAGCCCGGAAAGUGUGGCCCCAAUGUGCACAUGCUCUCAACAAAGCAUGUCGGAACAAAGAUUUGGGUGCCCUAAUAAGCAUCAAUGAAAUUUACAAACACCACAGUUUAGACCGACCUUUAUAGGAAAAUAGCUAAUACAAAAACACAUCUACUUUACAACCAAAAUGCUGUGGGACAGAAUGAUUAUAAACAAAUGGCCUUAAAUUAUAAUUACUAAUAUUCAAAUUAUUCAAAAAUAUAUGCAUUAAUGCAUAUCCACAAGAAUCUUCCAUCACAUCCAGUUCGCCCAUUAUAGCUGGAACAAACCCAUGUCUGAACCCACCCUUAUAUUAUUAUAUAUACACCAACACAUAUUUGUAUAUGAUAUCCAUCACAUCUAGCUAUUGUUGCAUUAUUGUAUUCUUGUUUGUGCCAUAUAAGAGGUGGACUACUAAAGGUACACCUUCACCCUAAACCUGAAUCUGCAUAAUGACAGCUUCAGACAGUGUUUAAUUCUAUAUCUCCUUUUUGAAAGGGCUGAUUAAUAUAUAUUGAAAAGAAAAAAGUAUACUCAGCCAGGCCCAACAUCAAGGUCUACUAAUUUUAUUUUUCUUUCCUUUUUGUUUGUUUCACUUCUUUGUUUCCUUUUGCUAUUUUUGCGGUGUUUUUUGUUUAAGGGAUAAAUAGUGUACCUAAAUUUUAAUUUUAAUGUGUAGUUAUAUAUAUAUAAUUUUAAUUAUAUUCAAUUUUUAUAAAUUAUUAAUACAAUUAAUGAUAUAGCAUCUGUUUAUGUUUAUAUACUGUAUAUACAAAUAAUUACAUUUAUUAUCUAAAAAAUAAAUUGAUCUAUUUAUUUUUUAAAAAAUAUAUAAAUGAAUCAAAUAAAAAUUUUAUAUAAACAUUUCAAAACCUAAUCAAAAUUUUAUUCUAAUUAAAAUUCAUAUAUAAUUUCGACUUAAUUGUAGAAUGUUAAACCUUAGGUGAUAGACUAUAGUAUUUAAAAUAAAGAAAAAUUAUUGUUUGCCGGUAAGUGGAAUUAAAAAAUUCGACAAGUAGAAGUAAGACAUAGCAUGUGUCUUUAGAUAAUAUUAAAAAAUAAAAAUUAGUUAAAAGUAGAUAAAUUCAUUCAUUUAACCUUAAACAACCAACAAAAAAAUAACACUAAAAAAAAAACAAAAACAAAACAUAGCAUUCUAUGAAGUUAACAAUUAAUAUAUAACCAUAGAUUUUAGUUUUUCUUUUUCCAUUUUUGGUUCUUGAUGUUUCUUUAAUAAGCUGUCUGAUCUAAGUGUUUUUUUUCUUGUUACUAAUAUUCAGAUUAAAAAUGACAACAAAAUAUUGAAAAAUAGAAGGAAAAAAAUCUAUCUCAACAUUUCCGGGGCAAUUUCUAGUUAAUUAAUCAAUCUCAGAAAGGGGAAAAUUACCCCCCCCCCAAAAAAAAAAAAAGAAUUCUUAGAGUAACAAAUAUAUUUAAGAGAGAAAAAAAAUUGAACCGGACAACAUGUAUAAUUAAUAUAUAUGCAUGGUUUAAAGAUCUUUCCAUGGUUUGAUCUCAGAGUCAUCCCAUGGAAUGUUGAGAUCAGUAGAGACAAGUGCAUCAAUAUCAUCCCAAUUCCAGUAGUUUGCCAUUUCAAUGCCAUUGCUGGUAAUAGGUUCUUGCCAGGUCUGUGAACCUGUUGGAUCCCCCCUCGUUUCUCCACUAUAGUUGUAGAGACUCGAAGACUGAAACGAGGCUGAUAUUGAAGAUGGGGAUGUUUCCAAAGAAUAUGAGCUUGAACUUGAAAAUGGAAACGGCAUAGGAAAUGGAGUCUGUAAGCCUUGAGACAUGGUAGAAUCCAAGCAGACUCCAUUGUUUGUGCUGAAAAUUUCUCUCUCCGAGUUUCUGCAAUUUACAGAAUUUUGCUGCAACGAUGAAUGAAAUUUGAUGUUCGGUAUGUACUUUUGAUCGGCAGGCGGAAGCUGAUGCGGUUGAAUAGCGGAAGAGGUGGAGCUUUUGAUGGUAGUAGUGGUUGUUUUACUGGCAGAAGCGGCGGCGGAUGUCUGAUGCCGCUUGUUUUUACGGCCUCCACCAACGGGAACAUUGCGAAGAUUACCACCUUUAGUCCAAUGUCUUUUACAGGUCUUGCAAAAAUACCUAGGUUGUGACUUGUUAUAGUUGUUAUAAUAACAGAACUUUGUGUUGGAAGAAUCACACCUUGGACACUUCAAUGGCGGUUCCGAUUGCUGCAGCUGGUUUUCUUGAUGAUGUCGCCUUUUCAUUGAUGAAGCUUUUGGACG